CUGAACCAGCCAAGUAGCGUGAAGGAUGAAGGGUCCUACGGAUUGUAAACUUCUUUUAUACGGGAAUAAAGUCCUACGUGUAGGAUUUUGUAUGUACCGUAUGAAUAAGCAUCGGCUAACUCCGUGCCAGCAGCCGCGGUAAUACGGAGGAUGCGAGCGUUAUCCGGAUUUAUUGGGUUUAAAGGGAGCGCAGACGGGAGAUUAAGUCAGUUGUGAAAGUUUGCGG
Molecule: ribosomal RNA, 226 nt
Filed under: uncultured Bacteroides sp.
Lineage: Bacteria; Pseudomonadati; Bacteroidota; Bacteroidia; Bacteroidales; Bacteroidaceae
Description: partial 16S ribosomal RNA
Rfam family: Bacterial small subunit ribosomal RNA
Source: RNAcentral